AACCAGCACCUCGAGUGGUCAGGAGGUUUAUUGGGCCUAAAGCAUCCGUAGCCGGUUGCAUAAGUUUUCGGUUAAAUCUAUGCGCUCAACGUAUAGGCCGCCGAAAAUACUGUGCAGCUAGGGAGUGGGAGAGGUACACGGUACUCGAUAGGAAGGGGUAAAAUCCUUUGAUCUAUUGAUGACCACCUGUGGCGAAGGCGGUGUACCAGAACACGUUCGACGGUGAGGGAUGAAAGCUGGGGGAGCAAACCGG
Molecule: ribosomal RNA, 253 nt
Filed under: uncultured archaeon
Lineage: Archaea
Description: partial 16S ribosomal RNA
Rfam family: Archaeal small subunit ribosomal RNA
Source: RNAcentral